Molecule: ribosomal RNA, 253 nt
Filed under: uncultured bacterium
Lineage: Bacteria
Also listed under: 1 other name
Description: partial 16S ribosomal RNA
Rfam family: Bacterial small subunit ribosomal RNA
Source: RNAcentral
UACGGAGGGUGCAAGCGUUAUCCGGAUUUACUGGGUUUAAAGGGUGCGCAGGCGGAUAUGUAAGUCAGUGGUGAAAUCUCCGGGCUUAACCCGGAAACUGCCGUUGAUACUAUAUAUCUUGAAUGCUGUGGAGGUAAGCAGAAUAUGUCAUGUAGCGGUGAAAUGCUUAGAGAUGACAUAGAAUACCUAUUGCGAAGGCAGCUUACUACGCAGAUAUUGACGCUCAUGCACGAAAGCGUGGGGAUCAAACGGG